Molecule: ribosomal RNA, 253 nt
Filed under: uncultured bacterium
Lineage: Bacteria
Description: partial 16S ribosomal RNA
Rfam family: Bacterial small subunit ribosomal RNA
Source: RNAcentral
UACGGAGGGUGCAAGCGUUGAUCGGAAUUACUGGGCGUAAAGCGCACGCAGGCGGUUGGAUAAGGUAGAAGUGAAAGCCCCGGGCUCAACCUGGGAAUUUCAUUUAAAACUGUCCAGCUAGAGUUUUGUUGAGGGGGGUAGAAUUCCAGGUGUAGCGGUGAAAUGCGUAGAGAUCUGGAGGAAUACCGGUGGCGAAGGCGGCCCCCUGGACAAAGACUGAAGCUCAGGUGCGAAAGCGUGGGGAGCAAACAGG